UACGGGGGGGGCAAGCGGUUGUUCGGAAUUACGUGGGCGUAAAGGGCUCGUAGGUGGCCAACUAAGUCGGACGUGAAAUCCCUCGGCUUAACCGGGGACUGCAUCCGAUACUGGAUGGCUUGAGUUCGGGAGAGGAUGCGGAAUUCCAGGUGUAGCGGUGAAAUGCGUAGAUAUCUGGAGGAACACCGGUGGCGAAGGCGGCAUCCUGGACCGACACUGACGCUGAGGAGCGAAAGCCAGGGGAGCAAACGGGG
This 254-nucleotide ribosomal RNA is filed under the name uncultured bacterium. Its description in RNAcentral is "partial 16S ribosomal RNA". It matches the Rfam family "Bacterial small subunit ribosomal RNA", at positions 524 to 777 of the family's 1533-position model. The record is from RNAcentral.